Molecule: ribosomal RNA, 459 nt
Filed under: uncultured bacterium
Lineage: Bacteria
Description: partial 16S ribosomal RNA
Rfam family: Bacterial small subunit ribosomal RNA
Source: RNAcentral
CUACGGGGUGCUGCAGUAAGGAAUAUUGCGCAAUGGAGGCAACUCUGACGCAGCCAUGCCGCGUGCAGGAAGAAGGCCUUAUGGGUCGUAAACUGCUUUUAUUUAGGAAUAAACCCCCGAACGUGUUCGGGGCUGAAGGUACUAAACGAAUAAGCACCGGCUAACUCCGUGCCAGCAGCCGCGGUAAUACGGAGGGUGCAAGCGUUAUCCGGAUUUAUUGGGUUUAAAGGGUGCGCAGGCGGGCGAUUAAGGCAGUGGUGAAAUCCCGGGGCUCAACUCCGGAACUGCCAUUGAUACUGAUAGUCUUGAGUUUGGUUGAAGUGGGCGGAAUGUAGCAUGUAGCGGUGAAAUGCAUAGAUAUGCUACAGAACACCAAUCGCGAAGGCAGCUCACUAAGCCAAAACUGACGCUCAUGCACGAAAGCGUGGGGAUCAAACAGGAUUAGAUACCCGGGUAGUC